CCUACGGGAGGCAGCAGUGGGGAAUAUUGCACAAUGGGGGAAACCCUGAUGCAGCGACGCCGCGUGAAGGAAGAAGUAUUUCGGUAUGUAAACUUCUAUCAGCAGGGAAGAAAAUGACGGUACCAGACUAAGAAGCACCGGCUAACUACGUGCCAGCAGCCGCGGUAAUACGUAGGGGGCAAGCGUUAUCCGGAUUUACUGGGUGUAAAGGGAGCGUAGGCGGGUUAGCAAGUCAGAUGUGAAGGCCCGGGGCUCAACUCCGGGACUGCUUUUGAAACUGUUCAACUAGAUUGCAGGAGAGGUAGGUAGAAUUCCUAGUGUAGCGGUGAAAUGCGUAGAGAUUAGGAGGAAUACCAGUGGCGAAGGCGGCUCACUGGACUGAGAAUGACGCUGAGGUUCGAAAGCGUGGGGAGCAAACAGGAUUAGAUACCCUAGUAGUC
This 440-nucleotide ribosomal RNA is filed under the name uncultured bacterium. RNAcentral describes it as "partial 16S ribosomal RNA". It matches the Rfam family "Bacterial small subunit ribosomal RNA", at positions 338 to 795 of the family's 1533-position model. The record is from RNAcentral.